This 195-nucleotide unclassified non-coding RNA is filed under the name uncultured Glomus. Its description in RNAcentral is "partial internal transcribed spacer 2". The record is from RNAcentral. Lineage: Eukaryota; Fungi; Glomeromycota; Glomeromycetes; Glomerales; Glomeraceae.
AAAUAAAAAUCGAUGUUGUUGCUACCCGUAGUGGUGUUUAAUGCAUCGGAAUUGAGUUGUCUUUACCUUUUUUGGUUAAAGUGACUUAAAAUUAUGUACGAUUUUUUGAACGUAUUUAAAUUGUUUACGUAUGUUCAUAAUAUCAAAUAUAUUAGGUGCGAUCAUCCUCAUGAUUUCGUGUCUAUAAUUUUCAUU